CACAAUGAGUAUCCGGAAGAUCACCACCACAGUCAACAGGAUCCUGAGCAGAGGAAGAGGAGGGGGAGAAAGGUUCUCAUAGGCUAAGUCAUUGAGAAAGUCCCUGUUCUUUCUGUUUCAGUGCUUACAGGUCCUUGAACAGGGGAGCUGUCCACCCUUGAGUGGUACUGAACCGAGAGCCUGGAAAACAAUUUUAUCUCUUUGCAGCUUGGUGCUGGUUCCACACCGAGCCUGUUAACAGCUCGACUUCCAAUAUUUGGUAAGUGAAACCUCACUGGACCUUCAUACUCGUAAGAAUCUAGGUUGAUCUAUUGGCCUCUGCUUUCCUGGGCCAUCUGUGCCUGGGAUGACAGAAGACAUGUGCUCCUCUUGGUACUGUCCACAGUUGUUCACCAUUGUGGAAAUGAAGCAUUUGCUGGAGGACUAUGAUGAAGACACACAGAACAUCGAAUUCUUGUGACCUAAGAGAGCUACCUAUCUCCGCUCUUCUUUGUGGUGUAAUUGUACUUAAAACAGAGGAAAAGGAGAUCCACUUUCCAUAUAGGGAUCUUUACCCAUUAGGGCUGGUCUGGAUUCCUGGGGGUGGGGGUUUGUAUAACUCUUGGUCCCUGCUGCUCUCCUCUCCUCUCAUUUCCUCUUCCCUGUGAUCAUGACACUGGCUACACUAAGCCAGGCAGAGCUGCAGCAGCACAGCCUAGGCUGCAGCAUCAGCAUCAGCAUCAGCAAGGUGGCCUUGGAAAGCUGAUCGGAGCCCUGGACACAUCUCUCCUGGGAAGUGGCAACAUCUGCAGUGUCUUGGGAUUUCUGUGAUGGGGAGGGACUCCAUUCCACUUGGGAUUGGUCUCCUCGUUAAAAUCUUUCACAUAUCAUUCACAAACGGUUAUAAUUAACUCAGCUUCACUUCCCUCAGUGGCCUACAUGCAUCUGUUCCCCAAUGGAAAUAUCAAACUGUCUUUUGAAGGGGCAAAACUAACCUGUUUUAGGAGACUUAAAAGAACAUAAAUGGCAAAUGAAAUCUAUUCUUCGGUACAAGGCGAUAUCUCCCUUUUUAAAUUUUUUUUUUAUCUUUGUGCUUCUUCCAUAUAUUUAAAUCUCAGCCCAGAGUUCUAGAGAAACACUUGCCUUGAAAGAUACAUAAAAGUUACUGUCUCAAAGGGGAAUAAAGCUGUCCGACCUACUGAUCAUAAAUACUCCUAAAUAUGACCAUAAUCAUGAACCCAAAAUCCAAACUGUGACUUAGCCUCAAGAAACCAUUUUUCCAACUGAUGUUCAAAUCUACCAUCUUCCUCCUUCUAAUCCUUUGAACAAAAGAGUAGGUACCCCUUUAAAAAAAUCACACGCACAAAUUCCCCACUCCUCACUCACCUUGUAUAUAGAAAAUAUACCUUGCACCGUAAUAUCUCAGGGAUUAACGUAAUAUGGUAUUGUGGCCAGAGCAGAUGUGUGAAAUCACAGCAAAUAAAUUAACACUCCAUUAAGAAUCAAAUCAGCCCUGCUGACACAUAAUCUUUCCCGUUUAUGUCAAGUCGUGAUUCCCAUUCACAUUGGGAGCUUCCCAGGGAGGCUCAUUAGACCUGCAGAAAGAGAUUUCUUUUAAGUCAAAGCUAUUCACAAGUUAUUCAGCUAUAGUGAGGGCAAAAGAGCCUUCCUGGCAUCUGGGUACCCGCCUCCCCACGAUCUCUUUGUCCCUGUCCACCCAAAGCCCCAGCCAUGCAGGAUAUAGCUAGGCUUCCUGCUGAAUUUGCAGACUGUAUAAAAGAGAUGAGGAAAUUACAGAGGAAAUAUGUGUGGGCAGGGCCUGCCCUUGAGAAAUUGUCAAACUGGGAGAAUACCUUUUGGUUGUCAUCAGCCUCUGCUGCUUUUACACCAGAGUACAGUGCUGAAAGUCAGACCUCAGGGCUGAGUUCUUCCUGCUGGCUUAGCUGAGCUUCCAAUAUUAUAAGGUGGGAUCGGAGUGAGUCCCCCGAAGAAAAGUCUCUAAGAGUUGGUACUUAUGCUCGAGCCCCUUGAAGACUCUACUCGCUGCCUGCUUCCUAACUUUCUGAAGCUGCCAACAUCUGUUUUGUUAGGAUCCCUGGGACUCAGGUGUAGUCUAGUUCAGAGGUUGUUUUUGUCAACCAAUCUGGCUUCUGGUCUCUCUUAAGCACCCACAACAAAGGCUUCUAUAGGAAGCUUCUUGGUUCUGCAGUGGAUUGAGACCAGAGAAGGACCACCCUCACUCAUCGGGCAUUCCGUGUUCAGUGCAAUUCAGUAGUUCUCAACCUGUGAGCCAUGACCCCUUUGGCAGUUGCAUAACAGAUAUCCUGCAUAUCAGAUAUUUACAGCGUGAUUCAUAACAGCAGGAAAUUAGAGUUAUGAAGUAGCCAUAAGAUAAUUUUAUGGCUGGGGGGUCAAUAAGAUAUGAAGGACUGUGUUUAUUAAAGAAUCAUGGCGUUAAGAAGGUCGGGGCUCUCCUGCUAUGCACUCAUGUUUCUACCCUGAUGGGACUCACCUUGAAUUUAGAUCCUGUUGACCAAUGAAGUCUCCAUCACGGUGCUCGCCCACUCCCAUCCCUUGCUCUCCCACCACAAAGGAAAGUAAUCCGAUAAGGGAACACACACCGGGUGUUAAUAACUGAUAACUACUUAAUGUAUUAUCCCUCUCAGAGGAAUUAUCCUUAUUUAAGUUUCAAAGCCUUCAUGCAAAGAAAUGAAGUUUUUUUUUAGAUAGUUUUUUUUAAUACUAUUUUUUAGAAGCGAACAACUAUUUGGGAGCAAGGGGUAUCUAAACCUUUCCAAGUGAUAUUGCACAAAAAGUACUUGCUUCAUUUAUUGCUCUAUAAAGGGGCCAACUUGUGGAAAUACGGGAAUCACACACAUGCAGUGAUUCUUGUAUUUACUGCAUCUGAAAGUCACCAGGGGGCUUUGAAAGCUCACAGUACCUAAGCUCUAAUCAGACUAAUAAAAAUCAGAAUUCCUUCCUAGAAGUGAAAUCUGUGCAUUUGUAUUUUCAAAAGAAAAAAUAUUUAGCUUAUUCUGGCUCCGGUAUGCAGUCAAAGUUAAGCCCCACUGUAAUAAUGAACAGAGUCAGAGUGUAGAGUAGUGGUACUCUUAACAAGCCCAGUGAAGCAGGCUUUCUCCUCACAAUGGGAAUGGCUGCCGCUGGACACAAAGCCAGAAUUUCAUUCUGAAAAUGUGUUCAUGUGGCUCUGUAAGUACUUAAUAUAAUCCACACAGGCUAAGUAGUUAGUUGCUAAACUGAAAACACCCAUCUCAUUUCAUCUCAGUCCACUCCUGGCCAUCUGCUCCUCUGAAUUUCCAUUACAGGGCCAUGUGUGUAUUAAUGAAAUGAUUGCAUCCGAUUACAUCUUUUAUUCAGAGAACAAGAAUGGCCCAUGAAUUCCGUCCUCCAGCAUUACUGCUUUUGUGGUGAAGUCACUAAUUAAGUUUACUCCGUUUCAGGCAGAGGUGGGAUCGCUGUUCACUAAGGUAAGAAAAUAAAUCGAAUAUGUUACUGCUGAUAAUAAAAUUAUAGUUUUUGCUGCCUAGCAACUAGAGGAUAGAAACUUCAAUCAAAAAUGUAACUUCAUUGUUUUUUGUUUGCUUGCUUUGCUCAAGACAGUGCUGUCCUGGCACUCUCUCUAGGCCAGGCUGACCUUGAAAUCAGAGAUCUGCCUACCUCUGCCUCCCAAGUGCUGGGAUUGAAGGCGUGUGCCACCACCACCCAUGGUAACUCCAUUUAAAACUGUCCAAAAUAUAUGACUGAUACCAACUGAGGAUUUUAUACCAACUUAUUACAAGUGGUAUAAAAGAGGGCCACCAAGCAGUUGAGCUUGCUCUCUCCUUUCCUACACCUCUCUAGAACAGCGUAGACAGUCAGAGAGCCACAUGCCUGGAUUAUAUCACUCUGUAGUUGUAUGGUUGAGUAGGCAUCAGAAUGAAAAAAAAAAGAAAGAAAGAAAGAAACAAGAAUGGAAAGGGAUUGAAUGAAUACAUAUUAUUGUCUAUUCACUCUAUUAACUAAUACUUAGUUAUUAUACUUAAAUUAUUACUUUAUUAACUGAUAACCUUUCCUACCUACAAUCUUUCAGAAGAGUUUUUAACAGUUUUUUUUAUUGAUUCUUUGUGAGUUUCACAUCAUGUACCUACCAUAGCCCCACUCAUCUAACCUCCACCCUUGUAAUCUCCCCCCACCAAAGGGAUAAAAAGCAAAAAUAAAUAAAUAAAUAAAUAAAAAAUAAGCCAACGAGAAGAAAGCAUGGCAAGCAUUUCAUCAUGGAAGCUGUAGCGUGUCAGUGUGUCCCACACUAGUCCCUUUGUCAAUGCAUCUGUACUUGCAAAUGCUCAUUGAGAUGAGUCAUUGGUCUAGUCUGAGGCAUAUUUUAAAAAAAAAUCAAUAGGCUUUCACGAAUAUCUAGUAUGUGUUUGUAAUCAUUGAUCCAAUCACAUUCUCCCAAAUCACUUAUACUUGAUCUCUGCACAUAGAGAUUUCUGACCCUCUCACUUGUUCAUUCACUUGUUCAACGAGACUUAGUCAUUGCUGCCUGGGUGACAGGAAGACACAGAGGUGAGCAGAGCAGCAUGGUCUCUGACCUCAUGGAACUUAAAAUCUAGUAGGAGAGACAUCUGCAUUUUAACCAGAUGGUAAAGAAUCAAAAAUAAUCUCAAAUGUCAAAGUUUACCUCGAAAACUGUGGUUAAGACAAACUGUUCAGUGACCACUCUGAGACAUGCAGGUCAUGGCGUAGAAUGGAGCAGGGAAAGGGUGGCCUACUCUAUGAGGCAGGGGUGAUGAAAGACAUUCUGUAGCUGAGAUGGGAGUGAGCAGUGAGCAAAACUCGAGGGAAAGGCAGAACAGCAUUCCCAGGUGGAGAAACAGCACAGAACAGCCCUAGGUGAGACACAGCCGCACAUUUAAAGAACUGACUUUUCUCCAUGGCUCAUCAAAGCAGGGAGACUCUUGAGACAAAGCUGCGGAAGUAGGUGGGCAUUAAUUCAAGAAGACCUCAAUAUGUUGGGUUAAAGAUGCUUAACUAUCUUUCUUAAUAGUCAUACGCACCAUUUGAAGAAAGGUAAGAAAGGAGUGAUACGACCAAGCUUAUUCUUUAAGGUUAAAAGAUAAUUACAUGUAUAUGUACGUAGCCAUGUGGGUACGUACUUGUGAAUGUACCACCCUCAGAGGUCCGAAGAGGGUGUCAGGUGUCUCGGAGCUGAAGUCUCAGGUGAUUGCACAGUAUCCCAAAUGGGUGUUGGUCUCUUCUAUGGCUGUGCAGUACGUGCUCUUAAUCCCUGAGCCCAUUGGGUUUGUCUGUUCAAUUUCAAAGCGAUGCUCCAUUUGCAUUGCAAGAAGAUUUGGUUACAAAGGUGCAUUUCUUUUCUAGUUUCCGUGAUCAAGUAGCUGACAGGAAGCAAGUCCAGGAGAGCGCGUUUACUUCUGCUUACAGUUUGAGAGACUCUAUCCUGCUGAAAGAGAAAGACAAAGACAGAAUAGCAGGAUCCCUAGCUGGAUCAUCACUUUUCACUACAGUCGGGGAAACAGAAUGAAUGGAAAGUGAUCUUAUCUAUAAGACACCACCGCCCCAUCCCAAAUUAGUGACCACUACACCUCCUAAAGGUUCCACAGCUUUCCCAAACAGUACCAUUACCUGGCCAAAUCUUCAGACAUGUGACUGACUGACUAUGGGGUGUUUUACUUUCUGACCACAACAGAGUGAGCAAGAAUAGAGCCAAGGAAAAGAGAGGGAUACUGCUACUGCAGAUCCCAGCUGCAGUAUCCGAGAAUAUCCUCACACAGAUACCUGUCUUCCUUCAAAGAUUAUGUUACACCAAAGAAACGUGUUUCUAGAUCUAGCACAUGAUUGCAUCUACCAGCAGGUAAAUUGUAAUACUAUUUAAUUAUGGAGAAAACAGAUAGAUCCUUGGUACAAUGGCCAACAGAAACCACAAGUGGAUAAAUCUCAGAGGUAAUUGUCCAUUGUGACGCCGCACCCAAACUUGUUCAUUUUUAGCCACGGGAAACAAAUGAUGCAAGACAGCUCUCUGGCAUUUGUUGAUUCCAAUGAAUGGUAAGAAUGGCCACUCAGUGAAGGAGUCAAGAUUCCUGUGUUCUCUGUCUCCCUCCUUCUACCCUCUCCAAUAAAAGUCCAAGUUUGCCUCUAUUCAAUAGUUCAGCAAAGUCUAGAAUGAAGUCUAGGUGGGGGAGUAGGGUUCCGCACAAGAAGAAAUAUAUUGAGACAUUAAUAUUAGGAAAUGCCCUGAGUUUUAUUUAAAGGAUUGAUUGAUUGAUUGAUUGAUUGAUUUAUGUAGGGUAACUGUCAAAAUAGGACUAAAGCGUUUGACUACCAAGUAGGACUAAUACCGCUAUUAACCAGCAAUCAUAAAGAGGAUAAAAUGAAGCUAUGUCCUCAAGAAAACAGACACUUGUUCCAAGCACGGUGCCACAUCUCAAGCGUGUUUCUGAGCAUCUAUUUGGCUUCUGUUUGGGGGUUGUAUCCAAAGCCCCUUGUUAGUAGACUAGAAGACUCUCAUCAGUCAUUUAAAAUAUCCACCUUGUUUUCUUUUCUUUUCUUUUUUUCCUCUACAGGUUUUAUGAGCCAACUUGGUUACUCAAAUGUGAAAAUGCAUUUUUUUUCAGUAAGUCUAAAGUUAAAAAAGAUUUUUAAAAACGGCUCGCACCUGCAUUGCAUAGCGGGCAGCUGUGCGGUCGGGUACAACUUCGCUUUACUUCUAUGAGUUCCGAGUUGGGAAGGCUCUUCGUGUCGGCCAUUAGCACCCGGGGUCUUCUGGUUAUUGGCAAAAUCAACCUUCCCUUCAGAGGAUGAGUUUGCCACUACUGAGGAUACUUAUAAAUACUUAUAAAUACACCAGCUCCAGAGAAAACUCACAAUCAUGAGUCAGCAAGUGCCUAAACUGCUCUUCAUAGGAGCAGCCGGAGGCACUGUCACGUGACCUUCCUUCCGGGUGCGGUAAGAGCCACAGACUACACUGUGGCACUUCACAUUGUCAAGUGCAUAGUCGCUGAUGUACUAGGGCGGGGAUUCGUGGGGGUUUUCUGGUGAAUGAGUAAGUUAUGCUGAAUAGGUUUCAGUUUCCUUCAGAGUUCAUAUUUUCUGGGAUCGAAAGUGAUCAGCAGUAGAGUGCACAGGUCCUUAAUUCCAACACUGCACAUGUAUGUAUGAGCACACAUAUACAUAGACAUAUACACACAAUGUUUCUAGGCAAGCAUUCAACAACUAAGCUGCACUUCUUUCCCAGAACUAUAGUCAAUGUGAUUUAUAUAUGUAUUACACACACACACACACACACACACACACACACACACACACACACCAUUAGGUAGAGUCUUUAAAACUUAAGAAAAUAAUAAAUAGGGGAAACAACUUACCAGAAGCAGAAGUUUAUAUAUGUCGGUGGGUGGGUGUACUGGACAUGACAAAGAUUUGGAGAGCUUAGUCUAUGUUAAGAUAGGGUCGGAUGGGUCAUUGUUAUUGAUGCCUAUAGUUAUAAGCAUUCCGGAGAAUUUUGCCUUCCAGGAUAGCCUGGGUAUAGAGUGAGACUCCCAUCAUAAAACAAGUCCACAGAGAUGGCUUGUCGCUUUGUCUCUCUUUCAGAAUACUUCAUACAUCUUGCCAACUAUUGAUGAAAUAUACAAGCUCCCACACUCUUACUGAAAUGUAUACACUACAGGCAUUGUUGUAAUUUCUCAGUGGAAGACAAGAUGCAUGCUUAAUCCCCAAGCACUAUUUAAAGGAUCAAUAUCAUAUCUAAUUCUCCUAAGAAUCUUUGAGAAAGAAGGAUCGGACGUCACUAAACUUGGCAACAAUACCCAAAGAUUUAUCUACAGCUUAGAACACCGCUGAGAUUCAUAUAGUCACCCCACAGUCAUCUAGAUGUCAAAGUAUUAGCAGGACUAAACUUUUUACUCUAUCCCUGUUCUCUUGCUCUCUAGAUCCUCUCUUUCCCAUUAUGUGUUCAGCUCUACACCCUGGAUGCUUAUCUUUACUGGUGACUUCUCUGAGACUGCACUCAGUUUUGACCCAUACGAUGUCCUAGCAAGUUUAAAGGAUAGAAGGACUGUGAGGUCUCCUCCCUGCUUCGUGAUGUUUCCAGUGCAUCUUUGUGGCUACAGUUUCAUGCCCUUCAAAUCUCACAAUGUUCUGAUAAUUCUAUUUUUCUCCCCGUGCCUUCCAACUUUUAUGUAGUAACAUCUUCCUACAGCUCUUACACCUUGGCUGUCUGAGCAUCUACAUCUUAUUUUCUUCUAUAUGUCUUUCCUUCAUUGAAAACUUUUCUUCAGAAAUCACAACUGAGUCGUCUGAUUCCUGACUGCCCUGCUACCAUCCUUUUUUAGUUUAUUUUUAUGAAAGAGUGACUAAAAAUAUAACCUAUCUCCUCAAACCAAAAGCCUGGAAGUCUAUUCCUAUUUUUGCACCCAUUCAUCAAGCCACGAUGACCCAUUUAUCCCUAAAGCACUAAAGUGCCUCUAAAAGCACCCUCUUCUCCACCUCUCUCCUUCCUUCACAAGUUAUUCGAUCCAGAUCCUCCCACAAUGCCUCUGUUUAUCUCCUAAACUCUCUCUCAUGCUACUAAUGAAAUGUUGCUUCUAUGAUGAGCUCUGGCUGUUGCAGUAAAAAUAAAAAAUGGCGGAACCGGUUUCCUGUGUACUCUGGCAGUCGCACUCUCACUAGUUCUGGCUCUGGCUGGCAUGCCAUUGGAACUAUCGCUAAUUAUCUCAGCGGCUUCACACUGCCCCCAUCUACUUUCUGACCCGCUGUCCAAGAGCCAUUCUAACAUGGCACCUGUCAGGCUGCCCCACCCUCACUCACAGCUCUCUUGGCUGGUUUCCAUCACACCAGGCAUACACACCCCAAUUCAUGGCAGCCAGGUGCAUCUAGCCACCAUACACUCUCUUGACCUCAAUUAAGUUGCCACAUGAAAGAACACAUCACACAAUAUCCUCUGAUCCAAUUGAUAAGAUAUAAUUUGCCCAUCUAGACAACACAUCCUAUACACACUCAUCCCUUUAAAAUAGUCAUAAAAAUGGGGGGGGGGAACUCAGUGGUUAAGAGCACUGACUGCUCUUACAGAGGUCCUGAGUUCAAUUCCCAGCAACUACAUGGUGCCUCACAACCAUCUAUAGUGGGAUCUGAUGCCCUUUUGUGUGGUAUCUGAUGACAGUGACAGUGUACUCACACACAUAAAAUAAAUCUUUAAAAAAAGUUAAAAAAACAGUCAUAACAACCUGUAAUAUGUGCAGAGAGGAAUCUUAACCUCCGUUGCCAUGUUCUCUCAGCUGCUUUUUCCUCGCUCCGGCCUCCUCUGCUUCUCUAAAACUUUUCUCCCACCCAUCCUUCCCUCUUGUCCAGUGACCUGCUUUGUUCUAUCCUGUACCUGCCUUCACCUGCAUAAUGACAUCAACCUACAUCUGCCCAGACUAUCUGCCAUUCUCCAGGGGUUCUUACAAGUCUUAUGAGUAGGUUGGCCCACAUCCAGGAAGUCCCUUAGAAUUUGGUCCAUACCUACUUCUCUGUUCUGUUUCCACACUGCCUUCAUUCUUACCAUACAGACCUUCAUAGAACUUCAAAGCCUGAUACACUCUUCCUUCCCACAUUUUCAUGUGCUGCCUCUGCCAGGAAUGUCCAUCCCGAAACUUCCUCUGGCGGUCCCUGACUCACUGUCCCUAAACCUCUUUCUAGUCUGUAAUUUCAACGGGGUCUAUGGCACAAACUGAUUCUGUAGAUGGGUCUGCUCUACUCUCUCAAGUUUCAGAGCAGGUCCCGUGAUGAAGAUCUCAGCAGAAACCUUAGCAGAAAUAGAGUCGGCAUGGUUGAGAGCUAAGUGGUUUUGCAUAUCCUGAAAUCCAUCUGUCUUUCUUCAUCUCUAUCACUCACUACCUGGUCCGGUUCAUUUAUAUUUUCCACGAAUAAUUCAGUAGCCUCUUUACUGACCUCCCUGCUUCUAGCCUUCCCCUGUCCCAUGUACCCUUCACACUGCAAUGAGCAUGCAUUGCAAGUCCCGCCCUUUCUUUCCACAUUAAUAUGGAAACUCUCUAGGAUGUGAAUUCUCAUAUAAACCGACUACUGUCCACCUUUUCAGUUUCAUUUCUUACCGAUCCUUCUCUGCACCCUGGCUGGACUGAGAUAACUGCUAUCCCCCUAAUUCACCAUGGUGUUGUGGUCCAGGUCACAGCAUCUGGUACGCUCACUGCCUGGAAACUUUCUGACAGCUGCCUCCCCACUUGCCUGCCCCUCUUAGGGCAGUCCUGGAGUACAUCUGAGGACUCCCAUGCCCCCACCUUUCUCCAUCCACUCGUGGGUUGCUCCUGUUGCUCCCCUAGCAUAUCUCUUCCUCAGCUCCACAGCAGCCCUUCUCACUACCACACGCCAAGCUUCUCAGAUGCAGACUGUUUUUAUUUAUUUCUAUUGUUCCAGUUUGCUUCUGCUUUUAUAUACUUCAGUGUCUAGGACAGUCUGUGAGAUGGAAUAGAUACUCAAAUAUUUGCUGAGUGAUAAGAUAGCAUGAAGGAGAGCAUUAAGACUCUGAUGGGAGAGAUUAUUUUGUCCAGAUUUCUCCAAGGCCAGUAAAAUCAACCACACACACACACACAAACACACACACACACACACACACACACACACACACACACACACACACACACACACACUCACCCUUUGCAUUGCCUUUUCCAGUGAGCCUUGCUGACUUCACCCUUUUCUUUAUAUAUGUCUAGUACCCUUUAGGGGGCAUCUGUUUUUGAAGACAAAAUGAUAUGUGAAUGUGGUAGAUUUGAACCUAAAUCCUGCCAUGCAGUUAUUUCUGGAGCUAAAUUACUUUGCUUUUUGAGCACCAAUUUUCUCCGUUGUUAGAAGGCAACAAUACACAGGUGGAGUACAUGACAUAUUGCCUACUACACGGGAGCUGCUCCAUAAAUGGAAGUCUCUAGUACUUUUCUUUUUUUGCCUCUAGUCAACUUGAUGGAAUUUAGAAUCAUCAUGAGCAUGUCUAUGAGGACUUUUAUAGAUUAGUUUAAUUGAGGGGGUAAGACCCAUCUUAAAUGUGGACAAUAUCAUUGCAUGGGCUAGAGUCUCAAACUGGCCUAAAAGAGAGAUUGCUAGCUGGGUACCAGCCAUCAUUACCUUAUGACUGCACAUGCAAUGUGACUAGCACACUCUUGCCUCCAUGACUUCUCUAAAAUAUACCAAAGAAGAGUGACCCAAAAUAAAUUCCUCCUUACGUCACUUUUAAAAAAAAUUAUUUAUAUGUAAGUACACUGUAGCUGUAUUCAUGCACACCAGAAGAGGGCAUCAGAUCUCAUUACAGAUGGUUGUGAGCCACUAUGUGGUUACUGGGAAUUGAACUCAGGACCUCUGGAAGAGCAGUCAGUGCUCUUAACCACUAAGCCAUCUCUCUAGCCCUCCUUAAAUCACUUUUGCCAAGUAUUUUGUCUCAGCAAUGUAGGAAGAAAGGACAUCCCUACCCUUUGUGCAUCCCAACUUCCCAGUCCCUUCUGGGUUUGGAUUUGAAAGUGAAAAAUUGUACCGCUACAAUCCACAAGGGCAUAGAGACAUGCUCAUGUUAGUUCAGUGAAUAAAAUUCUUGAUUUUACUGAUUAUCAACCUGGGAUUUAGAGAGAUUAAGUGACCUGCUUAAAUCUUACAGCUGGGAAAUGGCUAAGCCCAAAGCCACAACCCAAAACUAAUGCUAAAGCGGUGUUUAUUUUGUCCAAUCGCAUGAGGCCACCGAUGAAUACAUAUAUAUCUCAUAGCGAGGUCCUUGGGUACAUCAGGCAAGCAUCCUACAACUGGUCCCCUCCUCUGCCCUCUGUUAACUUUUUCUUUUGAGACAGAAUCUCACAGAGUCUGGUUAGCAGGCUGGGCUUGCUAACCAGAGCUUGCUGUGCUACUGGUUCAGCUUCCUGAGAGCUAGGUUUAUAGAACUUGUGCUCCAGCCCAGCUGCAAAUGUUUCCCUCAAAUGCUUUUUUAAUCUCUUCUUUGUCUUUCUGUUCUAAAAUUUCACAAUGACAUGCUUCAGUCUGGAUCAACAGCUUUAUCAAUGGAGCUAGAGACAGAGGGCCGUCUCAGUUAAAAGCAAAUCUUGCCUCCAUUCUGCGGGUUAUUUUUGAUGGUUUCCUCCUCAUCUUCACUGGUCUGUUCUGGUGUUUGCUCCUAGGAUUUGUCACGUGAAUCCUGACUGAUCCGACUUGCUUGUUUUUUUUUGCUCUUUCUUUAGUUCUCUAUUUCUUUGCUCUUUUUCCUUGUACGGAAAGUUUUUUGCUUUCUCCUUUUUUCUUAAAUGCAUGCAUGUGCAUUUGUGUGGAUGUGUGUGUGUGUGUGUGUGUGUGUGUGUGUGUUUGUGUGUGUACACACAUGUAUAUACAAGAAGGCCAAAGGUCACAUAGGUACUUUUCUCAAUCAGCAUCAACCCUAUGCUUUAAGACAGGGUCUCGGAGGGAACCCAGGGUUAACUAAUUUGGCUACAGUAAUUAGAUAGUAAGCCCCGGGGAAUCCUACUGUCUCUGCAGAAGCACUGGGUUAUAGGUGCACCACGCCUGGCCUUCUUACAUGGGUGAUCUGGAUCUGAACUUGGGUCCUCAUAGUUGUACAGCAAGCACUCGACCAAAGGAGUCAUGCUGCAGCCAUGAGAAUGAUAACUUUCUGUACAGCAAGCACUCGACCAAAGGAGUCAUGCUGCAGCCAUGAGAAUGAUAACUUUCCAAGGUUACUUAUUUUCUACAGUCUUUUCUGCCUCUAUUUUAAGUUUACUUAGAACUCCACAUUGAACAUUACUCUUCAGAUAGCUGUUUGUCAACUCAUGUCUAAACAUGGAUAGAGUACCAGGAAACAGUCGGAAACUCUGCAUGCGUGAAUGGAAGCUGCUGGCUUUGAACUUUGCUGCAAAGUCAUUGUUCUUCAACAGAGGAAAGACAAUGGGUGUGGCUAGUCGUUUCUAGAGAGUAGGGAGUAGGCAUGGUCCCUGUUGUCUGACAACACACAAUGUAGCUUCCUCACAGCAACAAUUAUCCUGCCUAGCUCACUGGACCACUGAAUUAGGAAUCCCAGGACAGCACUAUUUAUCCUUCUCUUGACAUGAUCAGGUUCUUCAGGCAGGAGCACACCAGUCUCCUACUUGGACCGGGAAAACCUUGCUUCCAACAUUCUGUGUGCAAUCCUGCCCUUAGCUGCAUUUUUAUUCUCGUUCACCCUUAGCUCCUGCAGCUAUUUCUACAGUUAGCUGUCAGUCACAAUCAGCUGUCUGUCUACUUUUCAGCCUCCCUUUCUCUUUGUUCUUAGGUAUUUUUGCCUUCUUAAAAUGGGUUUGCUAUUGAAAUGGUUGAGAUUUCGGAAGGGGAUGGGAAUAAAUACAUGUGUUCUCUCCCCUAUUAGUUGGAGUCUCAAGAUUCUAUUUUUCCCAUUGAUGCAUUCACUGGUGUCCGCUAGUAUGGAAACCCUAGACACAAUGAAUCAAGUGAAAACAGUGCCUGCACGAAAUGCCUGCCACCUAAAGUAUAGUGUCUAUGCUUCGAUGAAUUUCUUCUGGCCAGUUUGAAGGAGGCUCAUGUUACGGGGCGGGUUUUGAUAUCAGUGGUGAGUUGAUACCUUUUCUUCUCUUAAGGAAAUCUAUUUACUACAGUUACCAGGAAAGACUAAUUUGGACUGUAUAUAGUCUGUAUAUUUUAGUGUAAUAGGGGCAGAAAACAGGUUAAAGCUAAGCCCAGGAGGAAACAAGAACCCAAACACAGUGUUCCAGAAAUAAAAGACCAGCCUGGAUUAAUUGACUCAUUGAAGUUCUAUGCAAACAGAGACCAGAUUUCUUCUGUUGACCAAUUACCAGAACCUCUGAGACAGCGGCUUCAUCUCAGUGUCACUGCCUGCAGUUUCCUUAGAAAUCUGAUUUUCACUGUGGUCCCUUGAGAGCUGAUAGCUCUGGAGGAAACCUAGGCUGUGCCCUGGACUUCUAUCCACGCACUGAUGCUCCCAGUGUCACUGCAGUAAUAGUUGCAUCUGUUAUGAAAGCAGAAAGAGGCCACAGCCAUCCUUCCCAAGUCCAGUGAGUGCUGGCUGUGACUUCUUCACGAUUGCACUUAAGUCUUGCAUGAAGGUAGACCAUGCACUACAAUAAAGGCAGGAAAAUUUCUAAUGUCAAGUAGAAGACAUCAUUUAAAGCACACAUUUGCAUGGAAAUUGUGCUAUUAUGUGCAACCCAGAACAGCUGAAACUUGAGCCCAGAAUGGUAGGACUCCUCCAUCUUAACUGCUAAGAAAAGGGACCACUUGUAUGGUGCCAUGGCAACAGCAUCAUGUCCAAUGGUUCUUGAAGAAAACCAUGCAGAAACAUGAUCAGAAUGCACAAAGGUUUGCUAUUGAUUUGAUGAAACAAUAGCCAAAAUAGUUCAUUUUAUCAUAUUCUAAUAUUUUUCAUUUAAAAAUAUACGAAGAAUAUUCAGCAUAAAAGAAUUGGGAUGUGAAAGUGCAAAAAGAAAACUACAGUCAGUCUCGGAGUUUUUCGUGCCUCUAUAGACUCACAUAUUCAUGAAGGAAAGCAAAAUAACAAAACAAAAAACAAAAACCAGGGUUGUUUGUGUUUUACAAAUAACAAAAAAAAAAAAAAUCCUAUCAGAGAUUUUCACUGAAAGGGUUGCACAGAGAUACAAAGAAAGGAAGUAAACCCUGAGCAGAAUAUGAGGGGAAAAUAUAUCCUAGAUUUUCUACUGUCCAUGUUAAUGUGGGUAGAAUGGUGAUGUAAGAGAAGUGGAACAAACAUGGCUGUAAAUGCACAAAACUUUAGGUUGGUGGCAAACACUAAGUGCUUAUGGACAAACACCAAAAGAAUAGAAACGAAGGACUGGAGAGAUGGCUGAGCGGUUAAGAGCACUGACUGUUCUUCCUGAAGUCCUGAGUUCAAUUCCCAGCAACCACAUGGUGACUCCCAACCAUCCAAUGCUCUCUUCUGCUGUGUGUCUGAAGACAGCUACAGUGUACUCAUAUAAAUAAAAAUAAGUCAAUCUUUAAAAAAAGAAUAGAAACACAGUGCCAGACUUCUUGACGGUACAGAGAACAAUCUCAGGUAAAGCCAGCAUCAAUGCCUGCUGUAGCUGCCGGUGUCCUAGGUACAGUGGGUGCCUUAAAUAGCACAUACUGGUUUCUCACGGUGCUACAGGAUGCCAGUUGUUCCCAGUAGACACUUUUUUCUUAGCUUAUAGUUAGCUUUCUUCUUGUUCCAGUCUCUUAUGAUGAAAAAACAUUGGGAAAGGGAGGGAGUAGGAUCCAGGGAAUAAAAGGAGAGGCAGGGGUGUGAGGAGACAGUGUGAGUCCCUAACAAUGACCCACCUCCAUGACUUCAUAGAGUGACAAAGGCACUGUGAAGGUCGCAGCUCCUAAUGCCUCCUUGCAGGGAGUAGAGUUCAGCGUCUGUGCUAGUUAAGGUUGGGAGUGGGGAGAGGGUUGUCUGUUGUGCUUUGUUUUGUUUUGCUGUGACAAAAUAAGGAAUAAACAACUUAAAGAAGGAAAGUUUUAUUGUGGCUCACACAUUCAGAGGUUUCCCCAUUGCAUUUAGGCCUGUGGCAAGGUGGAAACAUCAAGGCAGAAGGACAUGACUGAUAAAAGCUGCCUGCACCUAAGCAGACAGGACGCAGAGAAAAAUGGAGAUCAGGGAUAAGAUACAAAGUUAUCAGGGCCCAUUCCUAGUGACCCUCUUCUUCCCAUCUUUGGGUUUCCACCAAUUCACAAGAACACCACUAAUUAUGAAUCCAUCAACAAAUCAAUUCAUCAAUUAGGUCAAAGCUCUCGUGAUGCAAUCACUUCCCUACAUCCUCACCUCUGAACACCCUCAUCAUUGAAAACCAAGCCUUCAACACAUGAGUCUGGGGGCAAUAAGUCACACUGAUCCAUUGAAGAUGUAAAUUGGAUGGUUGAAAAUGACAAGCAUCAAAGGGGAGCAUCACGGAGAGAGUGCACUAAACCUCUGGAACAUGCAUGUGCUCCUCCUAUUAAUCUGGAGACAAGAAAGUCUUAAGUUCAAGGCCAGCCUGGGCUAUGUAACGUAUACUACCAUUGACUUUAUAAUCAGACCCUGUCAACAAAUAAAUGCAGUAAUCCAAAAAAACCAGCAACAGUAAGCUGAGGGCGGGGGACAGGGGGAUGGAACUGAGUUCCUUCUCCAGCAUUACAAAAAGUGUACCACAUAUCAGAUGAAAAAUAAUGACUAUAGAAGUACCAAGAUAUUAUGACUCAUUCAUAUGAUUUCUGCAAUUGAUUUAGUAUGGCAUAUGAUUUAGUAAUCAAAAUGGAUGAAGAUGAUACAUAUGUGUUAGUUAGAAUAGAUACGUGAAACUGAACACAGAAUGCCCACGAGACAUUGGGUAAGUAAUUAGAUUCAACUCUUGUAAAAAUGUUCAAAAGAAAAAAAACGUAACUUCGCUUUACACUUGGUUACUUUUAGUCAUAUGGGUAUUGAAUGUAGUGUAGGGAAACUGCAGAUGGGAUUUAAAGGCUAGCCUCCUAUUAUACUAUUAUACUGUAGUGCAGGAAAGAAGAGUAUGUUGCGUUUGAUGUUUUGGGGGGUGUGUUCUUGUUUCUGAAGCAUCUGUUGUUUCGCAGAUGCUGUUCAAUGUUGAACUUGACACAGUAAAAGGAAACAGACAAAAGUUACUGCCCUUGUGGAAUUAAUAUGAAAAAAAGUCAGAGGUUAAUAAAACAAUCAUUCACAAGAUGUAAACUGUUGGUAUCUAUGUCCAGGAAGAGGGGUGAGGGAGGGCAAGGUUGGAGAGCGGAGCUUUCUAGAUGCACAGAGCAGCAGGAGCAACAGUCUGGCAGUGGGAGUGCCAUGCAGAAGACAGGGAGUUCCAGGGCUGGGGGAAGGGUGAGAGAUCCUGCUGGAAAGGAAGACAGGAUUUUGUAGACCACAGGAGCAGGAAGUCACCAAGGAGGCUGUGUAGGAAGGGAAGGUUAAACAGAGCUGCGGGUUUAGGUCACUCCCUGUAAAGGAUGUUGAGCAGGUAGGAGGAGCUGCAGGGAUAAGAGAAAAUGUCAUCAGGGAUAAAGACGUAGGCCCCCUGUGGAGUAUGUUCCACAGUAUUCUAAAGCGUCCCCCUUUCCUUUGGCAUCCGCACUUGGGCAUAACCAGGAUUCCUGCUUCACCACAGAAAAGAUUCCUAAGAGGAGCCCUUAGGAAGCCAGCCUGGAGAUUUAUUAAAAGACAUUUUUAAUGUAGAUAUAUGAACAGAAUUAUUACCAAGAAAGAAACUGUGGCCAGAUAGUGUGAGGUUCUCCAAAGUCACCAUAGGUUUAUUUAUUAUGGGUAUAUAUAUAUAAGAUUUUGGUGAUAUUUAAGUUAAACCUAGAGGUCUGUAAGAAAGACUACUUUCCUCAACAGGGCUCAAAGGGUGUAGCUUACAUCAAGGCCCUAAGGUGGAGAUUUAGGAAUGACAGGGAAGGGUCUGAAACUUACUCAGUCCUAAGUAAACAGAGUUUACUUACUACUGUCUUUGAGAAACAUACAUUACCUUCACAGCCAGACUGUGUUGUCAUGCUCUCUGGCCAUGUCCCCAUAAUUUAUAUGGAGAUUGAUUACUAUAGCUUUUCAUCAGUCUGGACCUGGGGUGGGAGAGGAAGGGAGAUAAAAUUUGUUGAUGUAAUUUACAUACACACACACACACACACACACACACACACACACACCAUCAAAUGACAGGUGACUGAGAAAAAAGAGGCAAGGAUGAGUCCCAGCCAUAACAGAAUUGACAAUUAGCAUUUAGUGUGGUGAGAAGACCUGGGAUGUGACCAAGUUUGUGGGAAGGAUUAUAAAUUUAAUUUUGGACAAGUUGACAAAAAAGCACCCUUGACAUAUUUAAGAGAGACCCAAGAAGGUAGGUGAAUAUGAAAAUUUGAAACACAAAAGUGGGAAUUAAAACAAGAGAGGUUGUUCCGUGAGUUAGGGAGGGAAUACAGUAUGGUACAUUCUUGGUGCUGAGAAGUUCCCUCGUGACUGAUAGGCAAAUGCUGAUCUUGCAAAGGACACAAAACAGCUGAAGUUUAGAGAAAAAUAGUGACUUCAGUAAGGAGACAACAGUAAACUGAGACAACUGACCAAACCCUCUGACCGUGAGUCCCAUGUACACUGCCUAAGGACCCUACCCACUUCUUCCAUGACGUCGGCCCUGUUGCCUAAGGAUCAAGUGGAACCCAUGGACUCCCCAAGUAGCAACCUCUCCACAAGAAGUUAUCCCUGACCACAACCACCCUUAGAACACUGUAGACCUUCCAUAGAUGCCUGAGGGUUUGCAGCUGGCUCUGUGGAAGGUUUGCACUUGUGCUCAGAGGCUGUAUCUAUCGCUAGCUGAGCUAGGCCCACUUCUGUUACCUUGAUGACACAUCAACACAGAGUGACCCUAAGACUGAACUCCAGGUACCAUUCAGCUGGUCCAAAGCCUGACACACUGUGACAAGAGCAAACAGAUAUCCACAGGUCUACUCAACAAAAGUGGGAUACAUAUUGUGAUGGUUUGCAUAUGCUUGGCCCAGGGAGUGGCAGUAUUAGAAAGUGUGCCUUGUUGGAGGAAGUCUGUCACUGUAGAGGUGGACUUGGAGACCCUCCUCCUAGCCACCUGAAGAUGUUCAAUCUAUUCCUGGCUUCCUUCGGAUGAAGAUGUAGAACUCUCAGCUCCCCCUGCACCAUGCCUGCCUGGAUGCUGCCAUGCUCUCGCCUUGAUGAUAACGGACUGAACCUCUGAACCUGUAAGCCAGCCCCAAUUAAAUGUGGUCCUUAUAAGAGUUGCCUUGGUCAUGGUGUCUGUUCACAGCAAUAAGACCCACACUAAGACACAUAUCCAUAUCAGAAUCACUACCUGACUCCAGAUGUCUUGGUCCCACGGCAAAAACACAAACAACACAAAUAAGCAAGAUAGUGUGUCUCCUCCAGGAGUCAGCAGCCUCACAGCCAUGUUCCCCAGGAAAAAGAACUUAGAUGGCACAUGAGACAAUUAUUUCAAAAUAGCAAUUAUAAAUAUAUAUGAGGUACCCAGAAAGAAUAUGAUUAUAUCCUGGGAAAAAGACCAUGAAAACACAAACAGCUGAAAGAAAUUAAACAAUUCAAGAUAUAAAGAGAUAGAAUUUCUGAAGAAAACCUAAACUGAAAUAAACCUUGAAGUGAAAAAAAUUCGGUAAGUAAAACUAAUGUGUCCAAUGCACGGCCUGGAUCCAGUGGGUGUGGGCAACAUCAAGGCUGGAAGACGAAGCAGAAGAGUUGGAUCUGUCAGUCAAAGAAGAGGAUGAAUCCAAGGAAAACUGUCUAGGAAGCAGUGAGAUGGAUGUCUUCAGAGACGUUCUGGUACCAGAGCAGCAUUAGCAGAAUCAAGCGAAGUCUAGACUGAAUGGAAAGAAGCGAGACACAGAGAAAUAGAAAAACACCAUUUGGAGAAUUCUGGCUGUGAAAAGGAGAGAGAAACCAGAAGCUAAAAUAGGAUGUCAGGUUUAGGCAGAGCACUUUGUUAUAGAAAGAUGAGCAUGCAUAUCGAUGUGAGGCUCUAAGAGUCCUAGUUUGUUUUCUUGUGCUAUAAAACACUGACCAAAGCCAAUGUGGAACGGAAAGGAUUCAUUUGGCUUACAGGUUAGAGUUCGUCGUUGAGAAAAACCAAGGCAAGAGAUCAGCACCGGAGCUUGAAACAAUAACAGUAGAUGAGUGCUACUUCCUGGAUCUCAUCCCAGACCUAGCAGCCUAGGGAUGAUACUGCCCACAGUGGGCCCUUCUAUACCAAUGAAAUAUCUAGAACACAUCCCACAGACAUACCCAUUGAUCCAAAGAAGAAAGUUUCUCAGUUGAGGCUUUCUCUUCCCAGGUGUGUCAAGUUGACAACUGUAGGUAACUAUGGACACCAACAAAGUUUCUUUUUGAGCCUUCUGAUUUCUUUUUUCAAGUUGGAAGAGGGAAGUCUUAAGAAGCAAGGAAGAGGAAGGGGGGGCAGUGAAAAUAGUUGUUAGGAAAGGUUAAAAAAGGAGUUCUGAAAUAACACCAGUUUUUGCAUAUUUUCCUGGUGCGGGCAUCUUUAGUUGCAAGUGUUUGGUCCUCUUAGAUAAGCACUCAUAUAUCUUUCAGUAUUGUGAACUUUGUGUUUAGUUCACUUUGGUUUUUAUUCUGUAAGUCUCCAGUCCGUAGUUUAAGUCUUCAUGCCAUGUAUGUAACUGACCUUCAUGAAAUGAUGACCAAGUUCUGAAUGUAACUUCUGAGACCACCUAGAGCCAUUCUUCAAAUAUGACAAGCAGUGUUUUCUGGAAUAGAGGGUGGAAGGAACAAUAUUGGUGAAAAGCGAUGAGGCUAUUCAAAAUCAUUCUGUGGCGGUAGGAAGGCAUGGAAGUAGGGGACUCCUUUGCUACUCGCUUGUCCAGCUCCAGGAAGUGACCUGCUCAGUCGAUAGGAUAAGACUUGAUGUUCAUUCCAGAUUCUCUAACGAGACCGUCGGGGCCUCUGGGUGAGAUUCUUGGCAUCCUUGUAUUGAAUACUUUAUAUCACUUCCUGCACUCCCAGCGCCAGUAGAAGACUUCUGGCUUUCAUAAACAGAGGCUUUUUUAGUUAAGUCAGUGCCAACCCUGACAGGUGAGUUUCUUCUUUAUCAAAAGCUAAGGCUUAGUCUGGAUUUUCUCAGGUCCCACACAGAUCCAUCUUUCUCUUUUCUUCUCUUUUCUUCUCUUCUCUUCUCUUUUCUUUUCUUUUCUUUUCUCUUUCUUUCUUCCUUCCUUCCUUUCUUUCUUUCUUUCUUUCUUUCUUUCUUUCUUUCUUUCUUUUCUUUAUGGAAAAUUUAUUGCAGCUCUCCAACCACGCAUUUUUUUGUUUCAACAUCUUGCUCUGCAGCUUCCUUUCCCCUCUUUGCUCAGAUGCUAAAAAGUCAGGCAUUAGCACGGGCCAUGCAAAGACUGGCAAAAGCCUCAAAGUUCUUCUCUUCUCCUGUGAUGACUCUGGCCUUUUCCUUUUUGUACGCAUUCCGGAUGGGCAUCACAGGUCCUGUUAGCUGGGUGACCAAUUUAAGAUCUUCAGCAGAACUGUCUCCCUUCUUCAGAGCAGAAGGCUUCCCGGGGAAAGUAUGAGCUUGGAGCAGUACUCCUUCAGUACCUGUAGUGAUACAGUCGUUUUGUUUCGCUUCCUUGGGUUCACCGAGAUGCCAAUGGUGCGAGCCAUUUUCUUGUGGAUACUGCCACCCUGAGUUCCUCCAGGCCGAAGCCCCUGGCAGCCUGGACCUUGCUGUGGUAUAUUAACUGUAGAGCACCUCAUGAUGGGCCUGAUGGAACCCGACGUGGGGCGAGGGGCAAUGCAGCGCGCUUUUGCCUGCGUGUUUGCAGAUCUUGCAUGCCAGCUGGUUGAACUAAGUGUCUGCUCACUGCUGCCAGUCCUCGUGGAAGUGGGGCUUCGGGUUUAUGCCAUUCCAGCUGGGCACCAUGGCUGCCUCCUGUACAGGAGAGUGGCUGAGCAGAAAGGUCCAGCUCCAUCUUUCUUUGUUCUUUGAAUCUAUUGCUUGCAGAUGGGAUGAGUUGUAGGGGAUCAGCAUAGGGCAACUUUCAAACUAAACCAGGUGACAUAACUGUCUCUUUCAACAACAGUAGAGUCCUGGGAUGAGCCGUCCACAUCGUCCAUGAAGUUUACCUCAACACUUCUCACCUUUCUUUUUCCUUUGUUUUUUGAGACCUUUCCAGAAAAUGCUCGCCUGCCCUUAAAGAGUCAAACUCACUAGAAAUGUUGCCUUCCAUUAAGAUAGAAAUAUGAUCUGCCUUCGGUAAAAUGGAAUAGAGAAGUCAUAACUAUAAACUACUGGGAAUAAUUAUCUUCAAAACUAUUUGGAAAUCGGGUAAAGAUAAAAGUAGAGCCCAUUUUACUUCUAUCACUACUUUACGUAUGUCUAAAAUUCUUAGAUAAAAUUGUUUUUUAAGGAAUAUCUUAAAAAUUAUUAUUAUAUAUCAAUUAUUUUCCAACUCUUUACCCAAAAGAAAGUUUGUGUUGUACCUUAUACAUAUGUACGUGCUAAAACAGAGCUCCAUAAAGCAUUUGCCUUCACUGUAUAGCUUCCUAUUCUCUAUCCUGCUUAGUUAAUAGUUAAUAUGGUGUUGGAACCUAUGCAACUGAUUCCAAGAUACAUUAUGUUCAUUGAUUAUGUUCUACAAUUAAAAAAUACAGAUCAAGUCAUUAGUCUAAUCAUUAUGUUUGGGAAUUAAACACCAUCUGUUGUCCCAGUCAAAGGAAAAGUGACUUUUCGGGGUGGGAUGGAGGAGAAAGAGCAGUCAUUAAAUUUUUGCCUCCCUUAUUGGGAAAAAUCAAGCUCUCAUUUUGGGGACAGGUGCCAUCAGAAAUUGGCUAAAAGUGAGAACUUCACCUGGUGCUAGUUCUGUGACCAAGGAGCCACUGCCUGUAUUUUCAUCCACUUGUUCCUAGAAAGUAUUGACCUCCAAGCAACCAGCCCUUCACUCUGGCCUUCAUGGCUUUGCUCUGAUGGGGUUCCUCUCCUGUCUGUGCACAUUUCUCCUUGCCCAGGUUGUGGCCUCAUACCCUGCUCUCCCUUCCUCUUUUUCACUCCCCUUGUAGUCAUGCCUUCACCAACCUGCAUCAUUGACCAAGGCUCCAUUCACCAAAGGGAAGGGGCGGAGCAUACCAGGAUAUGAUUCUCACUUAAAUUCCAUUGUAGCACAGGUCCGAUGAAGCAAGUAGAAUGCAGACCAAGUCUGACAUCCAGAAGAAAGCUCUGAAUAAAUUUAGCAUUGGGAUUUAAGAAUGAAGUAUGGAAUCUUCUGUCCUUCAGCAAAUGGAAAUUAACUUCCUGUUGGGGAAAAAGGAGUGACUGCGCCCUGACGUUUAAGAGAGUCCUGGUCCUUGGAAUCUGGGAUUCUACCUGAAGUCACAAGGAUGAACAAAUGGUAGAGGCCUAGAGAGAGGCGCCUGAGUGAGCCUGCUUCCUAACCAACUUCUCAGAAUUGUCUGCCGCUGGGCUGCCUAAUAGAAGCUCAAGUUCUGGGAUUCCACCCUUGAAGAGAAAUGAAUCUGCACUUCGUGAGCCCUCACCCCGUAGGCCAGCUGCUGGGCUGAGGAAAGACAAGCGGCCUCCAGAGGGUUGUUAGCAAGAAUGUCCACUUGUUCUUCAAAGGGAGAUGCACAACGCCAGGAAUUUGCAUUAAAAGCAUUUCUUGCUCCUGCCAUUAGCAUCCAAAUCAUCUUUAGCUAACAGCUGAAACCAAAAAAUGAAGAAGCUGGAGCAGCAUCUGCCCCGGGAUUAUACUAUCCAUAGCUCCUUUAUAUAGAUUCUAGAUCAGCUGCUAAACUCUUUCAAAAUGGCACUCUGAAAACAAUGAUCUACUAUUACAGACAAAACUUAGCUAGACCUGCAUAUUCCCAAAGGCUUUGUCUUUCUCUUCAGAGGGGUCAGAAAGCUGCUACUUUUUAGGGAAAGAAACUUCUUAUAGCUAUUUAGUGAUCAGUAUUUCUUGAUCAGUAAACCCUUGGUUAAGAAUGUAAGCAACAUUUAUUUUAUUUUUUCUCCUUUUUGAAUUGUAUCCAUUCUUUGUAUGAGUAUUCCAUUUUGUUUGUCUGUUUGUUUCAAGACAUGUAGCUCUUGCUAUCCUAAAACUCACGUGUACAUCAGACUGGCCUGAACACACUGAGAUCUGCUUAGUUUUGUCUCCUCAGUGAUGAGAUCAAAGGCAUGAGGAUACCUAGGAUCCAAGACUUUUACUCCUACAUUAUGGCUUCUGGUUUUCUGUUUUCAUGGGAUUCCUAAUUGUGCAAGCAAAGUGGGUCUCUGUGUCUUCAUCUGUUUCUUUUGCCUUUUAUUUGACUCAUUUUCUUUCAUUGGAUUGUUUUGUCCUUUUCCAAUGUGUUAGUUUUUGUUUUAUCUUGUAUUUUAUUAUUAUUCUUCAAAUGCCCUCUGUUUUCUAAUGAGAAAUGGAAAAGCUGUGAAUCCUCAUGAGAGGGGAAGGAAGGUACAGAGGAACUGGGAGGAGUAAAAAGAGGAGAGACCAUAAUUAGGAUAUAGUGUAUGAAAAAAAUAAAGGCUAUUUUCAACAAAACAACAACAAAAUAUAGAAUGCAAAUAACCAGCCUACCUUAUCUUCCCAGCGUUUGCUUGAUUGUUAAAAGGAAGACUGAUUUUGAACUUAAGAUUCUCUCUGCCUAGGCUUCAUGAGUGUUCUUAGUGUAGGAUUGUCUCACUAUGAAUGUGAGACAUAAUGUCUCACUCAUCCACUAACUGCAGAAAUUAAAACAAUAGAGGCUUGGUCCAAAGCCAAUGAUCUAUGUCCAUUUAAGGAAAGAAACAGAGACGGUAUGUUCAAACUAAAAGUAACCAAACAUCCAUCGCUACCAUCACUUAUGCACAAAUGCUAACCCCAGUACAAAAAGGAAAGAGCUCUGGGGCUUAAGAGAUGAACCACCCUUUAAUGGCAAAAGAAAGAAUCAGCAAUUAAACCAUGAUGAUGUGGCAUUAGAAAAAUAAUCACAACAACUUUAAAAUUUACCCAAAGAAUGAAUCCUUUAGGUAAAAUAUUGCAUCAUUAAAGAAAAUAUUGCAUAAUUAAAGAAUGAUUGAUUGCAUGCACAUUGGACUCAUCUCUCCACCAAUGGUCACUCUAUCUAUCUAUCUAUCUAUCUAUCUAUCUAUCUAUCUAUCUAAUGACAAGAGGAUUCAUAGCAGUAAUUCUAAGUGUGCAAAGGGAGGAGCCUUGAGGCCAAUACCCCAGACUGACCUAAAACCUCAUGCCUAGUGUCCCUAUAGGGAUCUCAUCUUAAAGCUGCUAGCCCAAUAUGAUGGGGAUGAGGAAGAUACUGGGGUAGGAUAGAAGAUAUUGUGACAGAAAACUAUAAACCAGAAAGGAAGGAAAGAAGGAAGAAAAAAGCCAGAGAGCAGAAGUGCAUGCCUGUGAUCCCAGCACUUGGAAAUCUAAGGCAGGAAGAUCAAGAAUUUGGCCUAAUAUGGAUUCCAUAGGGAGAGCUGGUUUCUAAAUCGAAUGCAACAAACUUUUUAAAACUAAGCAUUUUGCAUUUAAAGCAUUGAUAGGUAUUAGCCAAAGAGCUACCCUUUGCUUUUGUUUGGUAGAGAGGAAUCUUAGGUAAACUGUGCUCAUAACUAACCUAUGAGGCAGAAGGUCAUAUACCAUACAAUAGAUCUGUUCGGAUACUUUCUAGAAAUAUCCAAAUCAAAGACCUAACUUUUAAAUUCUAAAACACUGUCCUAUGGAUUACAUAGUCUGUUGAUCUAUCUGUAAAUUAACCCUUAUUCUGACUAAAUGUAAAAAGUUGACCUUAUAUCUGCCUGUUUCCUCUCAUGAGACAUACACACAUGAACCUGAGAGGCUCAGUGGUGGUGAAAGCUUUAUUGGUUCUGCUUCCUGUAUUCAACCAUGCUGUCACAAGGAAAAUGAAAAGUUAAAAAAAAAAAAAUUAAGACCGGCCUUGAAUGAACAGAUGUUGUUUCUUUCCAGAGAUGAUUAUGUAUGUGUGGGAGGUCAGAAUAAUAUUUCACAAUCACCAGCUUGGGUCUGAAUCUAAUAACUUCAUGUGGCAUGCUAGGGAAACAAAAUACCCUAUCUUCAGAACAUGUGCUAAUUCCAGUAAAGUAUUUUUUACCUUCCUGGCCACUCUGAAUAUUAUUUAAAUUCCUAGCAUCGACUAUGAAGAUGUCUAAACCUCAGUGGCUAGCUGGUUUUAAACAAAUGUCUUUGUGGGUCGCCCUGGUGCUGUUUUUAUUUUGAUGCUAAUUCCGCUUCCCCAAGAAGGGCUGCGUGGGAUGAGGAGGGAACCAGUACUCAGGUGACUUCACUGGAACCUUCUCCUGAUUUUAACUUGUAAAAUAAAGGCUAGAGCCCAUGAUUUGGCAGGGGAAGGAAGGUGGAGCUGAAGAGUUGUGGGGAGACAGAGGAAGGGGGGGAGAGGAAGAAGAGGUGGAAGGAAGAUGGAGAUGAAGCACAUGGCCUGCAGAAACCGCAAAUUAUAAGGGCUCUCAUAGCUGGGGAUAAAGUCGUGUAGCAGUAGAUCUGCCCAAUCUAGGCACGCAGCUUGUAUUCAUAUUAUUUGAGUUGUGUUUUCAUUAAACGGGCUUGUCUGGAUUGGAGAAAUUACCUCAACAUGUCUUCCAGUGCUUUCUCUGGUGGACUCAAGAAUCAGUGAAACUUGAAGAAGUCCCACAUUUUCUUUUGUCAAUAAUUUAGCAAAAUGUUUCAGAUGACGAAUAUUUAUUUUUUUACGUUUAUUUGGUGUGCGUGUGUACAUGUGUGUGUGUGUGCGUGUGCGUGUGUGUGUGUGUGUGUGUGUGUGUGUGUGUGUGUUGCUGUAUAUGUGUGGAGGUCAAAUGGUAACUUGCACAACUUAGUUGCCUCCUCUGCCAUGUGGAUUCUAGGGAUUCUACUCAGGUUAUCAGACUUGGUAACAGGUGCCUUAAGCCAGCAUCAUGUUGCCUUACUAUAAGAUAAACAUUUUCAUUUGAAAGAAUAUUCUCAGUACAAUUUAAAUACCGGUGUGCAUCAUGUAAAAUGUAAAUAUGAACAAGAGUAAAAAUCCAAUUCUGUGGCUCAGUGAUGCACCUCUGAAAUCCAGAGGUGGUUUUUACAUUCUGUUGAUUUGAUUGAUUUUCACCAGAUGCCGUGUCUAGACACUGUGUGUGCCAAGGAGUGCUAGAAUGGAUGAGGCAGAGGAAAAUGCUUCACACUGACAGUAUUUAACACAAAAGUGCCACAAUGUAAAAGAAGAAUUAAGCAAAGGCUAAAGGGCUGGAAGACAGAAGGCAGCCUUUCUCAUUAGAGCCCGUGGAAAGGCUGCGUAGCCUGUGCAGCCUGACAUGCCUCUAAGGGCUGCUUGAGUAAUAGGUUCUUGCCAAUACUAACCCACCCCAAGUUGGCAUAACUUUCUAUGUAACUUAGCGGAAAGGACAGGAGUGCUAAUGAUCAGAAGCUCCAAAGAUAAAACACCAGGAGGAAGAAUCACUCAGUAAGCUUUAUCAUGUUAUGCUGUGUUUAUGAAGUCACUUUCUACCACAAUCAUUUUUUAUUUAAAGAACACUCAUUUCUGUAAUAAAACCCAGAAUAUAAGAUCUUACAUAUUCAAUACAGUGCACUUACUCAUGUACAGAUGGAAAAAAAUAAGUUCAGUAUUUCAAGACCAAGAUGGCUGCUAAUUUAUCUACAAUGUCACCUUUACAUUGGGUAAACAAUUUUUGUCUUGUUUACCCAAUGCAAAGCCUGCACAAAAACCUCCAUGUAUUUGAAAAAACACUUUAAAACUUGAUUCAGAUCUUUUCCACCAAUGGGGCUAUUUUUAAAUCUGCCUUCAACUUUCCUCUGUAACCUAAUUCUGCUCCAAUUCUUCAAGUGCAAUAAAGUGUCUUUUAGUCAAA
Rattus norvegicus (Norway rat) is the source of this 27329-nucleotide non-coding RNA. NCBI's taxonomy places the organism in Eukaryota, Metazoa, Chordata, Mammalia, Rodentia, Muridae. The record is from RefSeq and is a predicted model, not a curated record.